GGAGAAAAAGUGGAAGAGCACGUGCUUAACACGCACGAGGUCCUGGGUUCAAUCCCCAGUCCCUCCU
This 67-nucleotide transfer RNA is filed under the name Camelus bactrianus (Bactrian camel). It matches the Rfam family "tRNA". Rfam says of the family: Transfer RNA (tRNA) molecules are approximately 80 nucleotides in length. Their secondary structure includes four short double-helical elements and three loops (D, anti-codon, and T loops). The record is from Rfam by way of RNAcentral. RNAcentral also lists the same sequence under 2 other names. Lineage: Eukaryota; Metazoa; Chordata; Mammalia; Artiodactyla; Camelidae.